This 254-nucleotide ribosomal RNA is filed under the name uncultured bacterium. Its description in RNAcentral is "partial 16S ribosomal RNA". It matches the Rfam family "Bacterial small subunit ribosomal RNA", at positions 524 to 776 of the family's 1533-position model. The record is from RNAcentral.
UACGGGGGGAGCAAGCGUUGUUCGGAUUUACUGGGCGUAAAGGGCGCGUAGGCGGUCAGCACAAGUCAGUUGUGAAAUCUCCGGGCUUAACUCGGAAAGGUCAACUGAUACUGUGCGACUAGAGUGCAGAAGGGGCAACUGGAAUUCUCGGUGUAGCGGUGAAAUGCGUAGAUAUCGUAAGGAAGACCAGUGGCGAAGGCGGGUCUCUGGACAGUUCCUGACGCUGAGGCACGAAGGCCAGGGGAGCAAACGGG